GACAGAGGGUGCAAACGUUGUUCGGAAUUACUGGGCGUAAAGCGUGUGUAGGCGGCCAUAUAAGUCGGAUGUGAAAGCCCUGGGCUCAACCCAGGAAGUGCACUCGAUACUGUAUGGCUUGAGUACUGGAGAGGAUGGCGGAAUUCCUAGUGUAGAGGUGAAAUUCGUAGAUAUUAGGAAGAACACCGGUGGCGAAGGCGGCCAUCUGGCUCGGUACUGACGCUCAGGCGCGAAAGCGUGGGGAGCAAACAGG
RNAcentral lists this ribosomal RNA (253 nucleotides) under uncultured bacterium. RNAcentral's name for it is "partial 16S ribosomal RNA". It matches the Rfam family "Bacterial small subunit ribosomal RNA", at positions 524 to 776 of the family's 1533-position model. The record is from RNAcentral.